GGACGUGGCUCAAGUGGUAGCUCGCUCGUCUGGCAUGCGUGCGGCCUGGGUUCAAUCCCCAGCACCA
This 67-nucleotide transfer RNA is filed under the name Marmota monax (woodchuck). Its description in RNAcentral is "tRNA.Ala". Lineage: Eukaryota; Metazoa; Chordata; Mammalia; Rodentia; Sciuridae. The record is from RNAcentral.